Molecule: ribosomal RNA, 252 nt
Filed under: uncultured bacterium
Lineage: Bacteria
Description: partial 16S ribosomal RNA
Rfam family: Bacterial small subunit ribosomal RNA
Source: RNAcentral
UACGUAGGGUGCAAGCGUUACUCGGAUUUACUAGGCGUAAAGCGCGUGUAGGCGGAGUUUUAAGUCCAUCGUGAAAGCUCCCCGCUCAACGGGAAGGGUCGAUGGAUACUGAAACUCUCGAGUGAGGCAGGGGGAACCGGAAUUCCCGGUGUAGCGGUGAAAUGCGUAGAUAUCGGGAGGAACGCCGAAGGCGAAAGCGGGUUCCUGGGCCUAUACUGACGCUGAGACGCGAAAGCUAGGGGAGCAAACAGG